Molecule: small RNA, 112 nt
Filed under: Caballeronia telluris
Lineage: Bacteria; Pseudomonadati; Pseudomonadota; Betaproteobacteria; Burkholderiales; Burkholderiaceae
Description: Burkholderia sp. LMG 22936 Burkholderia sRNA Bp1_Cand684_SIPHT
Rfam family: Burkholderia sRNA Bp1_Cand684_SIPHT
Source: Rfam by way of RNAcentral
AAGAAAGUAAGUCCCGCCCCGGACAGGGGCAAUGCCAAUAGACCACUAAGAAAACAAGUUCCACAGAAGAAGCAGAAGCAUCGAAAAUCACCCGCGCAUCAGCGCCCCAAGU